This 572-nucleotide ribosomal RNA is filed under the name Nemichthys scolopaceus (slender snipe eel). RNAcentral describes it as "partial 16S ribosomal RNA". It matches the Rfam family "Bacterial large subunit ribosomal RNA", at positions 1845 to 2596 of the family's 2925-position model. Lineage: Eukaryota; Metazoa; Chordata; Actinopteri; Anguilliformes; Nemichthyidae. The record is from RNAcentral.
AUUAGAGGUCUCGCCUGCCCUGUGACCCCCAAGUUUAACGGCCGCGGUAUACUGACCGUGCGAAGGUAGCGUAAUCAUUUGUCUUUUAAAUGGAGACCUGUAUGAAUGGCAUCACGAGGGUUCCACUGUCUCCCUUCCCCCGUCAAUGAAAUUGAUCUCCCCGUGCAGAAGCGGGCAUAAGAACAUAAGACGAGAAGACCCUAUGGAGCUUUAGACAAGAGACCACCCAUGUAAAGACGCCUUUAAACCCAAUUAGGGCUCUACGGGCUAAAAACUAACUGUACGCUGGUCCGAAUGUCUUCGGUUGGGGCGACCCUGGGGGAAAAACUAGCCCCCAAGAGGAACAGGGGCAACCCCUGAACCAAGAGAGACACCUCUAAGAAGCAGAAAAUCUGGCCACAAAUGACCCAGGGCGCGGCCCUGAUCAACGAACCAAGUUACCCUAGGGAUAACAGCGCAAUCCCCUCCCAGAGCCCAUAUCGACAAGGGGGUUUACGACCUCGAUGUUGGAUCAGGACAUCCUAAUGGUGCAGCCGCUAUUAAGGGUUCGUUUGUUCAACGAUUAACAGUCC